UACGGAGGGAGCUAGCGCUGUUCGGAAUUACUGGGCGUAAAGCGCACGUAGGCGGAUAUUUAAGUCAGGGGUGAAAUCCCGCAGCUCAACUGCGGAACUGCCUUUGAUACUGGGUAUCUUGAGUAUGGAAGAGGUAAGUGGAAUUCCGAGUGUAGAGGUGAAAUUCGUAGAUAUUCGGAGGAACACCAGUGGCGAAGGCGGCUUACUGGUCCAUUACUGACGCUGAGGUGCGAAAGCGUGGGGAGCAAACAGG
RNAcentral lists this ribosomal RNA (253 nucleotides) under uncultured bacterium. RNAcentral describes it as "partial 16S ribosomal RNA". It matches the Rfam family "Bacterial small subunit ribosomal RNA", at positions 524 to 776 of the family's 1533-position model. The record is from RNAcentral.